GAUCAGUGGCGAACGGGUGAGUAACACGUGAGCAACCUGCCCUUCACUCUGGGAUAAGCCUUGGAAACGAGGUCUAAUACCGGAUACGACACUCCCGGGCAUCCGGAGGGUGUGGAAAGUUUUUCGGUGGGGGAUGGGCUCGCGGCCUAUCAGCUUGUUGGUGGGGUAAUGGCCUACCAAGGCGACGACGGGUAGCCGGCCUGAGAGGGCGACCGGCCACACUGGGACUGAGACACGGCCCAGACUCCUACGGGAGGCAGCAGUGGGGAAUAUUGCACAAUGGGCGAAAGCCUGAUGCAGCGACGCCGCGUGAGGGAUGACGGCCUUCGGGUUGUAAACCUCUUUCAGCAGGGAAGAAGCGCAAGUGACGGUACCUGCAGAAGAAGCGCCGGCUAACUACGUGCCAGCAGCCGCGGUAAUACGUAGGGCGCAAGCGUUGUCCGGAAUUAUUGGGCGUAAAGAGCUCGUAGGCGGUUUGUCGCGUCUGCUGUGAAAACUCGAGGCUCAACCUCGGGCUUGCAGUGGGUACGGGCAGACUAGAGUGCGGUAGGGGUGACUGGAAUUCCUGGUGUAGCGGUGGAAUGCGCAGAUAUCAGGAGGAACACCGAUGGCGAAGGCAGGUCACUGGGCCGCAACUGACGCUGAGGAGCGAAAGCAUGGGGAGCGAACAGGAUUAGAUACCCUGGUAGUCCAUGCCGUAAACGUUGGGCACUAGGUGUGGGGCUCAUUCCACGAGUUCCGUGCCGCAGCAAACGCA
RNAcentral lists this ribosomal RNA (757 nucleotides) under bacterium. RNAcentral's name for it is "bacterial SSU rRNA". It matches the Rfam family "Bacterial small subunit ribosomal RNA", at positions 90 to 859 of the family's 1533-position model. The record is from RNAcentral.